CCUAACCAUUGUAUCUGAUACAAAAGUCGGUGGGAGUGAGUGAAUUUAUACUCAAAAGCGGCUCUGUCAAUGGCUACUUUCAUUGGAUGUUCUCCCUCCCUAAGGUGGUGCACAACCAACAAGUAGUUGUUCAAAGUCCAUGGCCCUCUGUUGAGCACUCUCUGGAUAUCCACUUCGCAGAAAAAGCUUUAUAAGUAAUGGCUGGAACUGAGAUCUACAAUAUUUACUCCCCCUAUCGGCCUCCACAGAUCUACCAAUGUAUUUUUCAUCAGUUCAAACUUUCUAACCACUUCUGUUAAGAAUCUACCCACUAAACAGAGGUCAUACGACUCUUGCUGUUUAGGGACAAGUCCAGUUAAGUCUCAGCCCCCAUCUUCCUCCUCUGCAAUCGACAACAACACCAUGUCAUCCACCAUAUCCAUCGGUCACCCCUUACAUGCCAAUCGACGGACUAUUGAUAGAAACAACAAUAGCUUUUCUAUGGUGCAAAAAGAUCUCACUGUUGGAAACAACACCUCUUGCAACCAAACAAAGUAAAUGGAAAAGAGGGUCAUCCAACACUGACUUGGUAUUAGACCAAGUCAAUACCUAUUUACAUUCUAUUUAUAUUUGUAAGUUUCAAAACCCAACCCUCUCAAUAAAUAGGGGAAAUAAUUAACUUUAUUAUCUGGAAUGAAGGAAUCAUCAGGGUAGAUUCAUUUUUUGUUCGUAUAGUUAUUUGAAUAGCCAUAUGUUCUCGUCAAUUGUUUAUUUCAAGCAAGGAAAAAUUUCCUUUAUGGUUCAUUUG
Molecule: long non-coding RNA, 787 nt
Filed under: Carica papaya (papaya)
Lineage: Eukaryota; Viridiplantae; Streptophyta; Magnoliopsida; Brassicales; Caricaceae
Description: long non-coding RNA (CPAP_LNC006656)
Source: RNAcentral